ACCGCGAUAGUUCAGUUGGUGGAGCAUCCGCCAGUUAAGCGGAGAGUCGUCGGUUCGAUUCCCACUCGCGGCG
This 73-nucleotide transfer RNA is filed under the name Fasciola hepatica (liver fluke). It matches the Rfam family "tRNA". Rfam says of the family: Transfer RNA (tRNA) molecules are approximately 80 nucleotides in length. Their secondary structure includes four short double-helical elements and three loops (D, anti-codon, and T loops). Further hydrogen bonds mediate the characteristic L-shaped molecular structure. tRNAs have two regions of fundamental functional importance: the anti-codon, which is responsible for specific mRNA codon recognition, and the 3' end, to which the tRNAs corresponding amino acid is attached (by aminoacyl-tRNA synthetases). tRNAs cope with the degeneracy of the genetic code in two manners: having more than one tRNA (with a specific anti-codon) for a particular amino acid; and 'wobble' base-pairing, i.e. permitting non-standard base-pairing at the 3rd anti-codon position. The record is from Rfam by way of RNAcentral. Lineage: Eukaryota; Metazoa; Platyhelminthes; Trematoda; Plagiorchiida; Fasciolidae.